GACGAACGCUUGCGGCGUGCCUGAGAAAUGCAAGUCGAGCGGGGUGUAGCAAUACACCUAGCGGCGAACGGUCGAGUAACACGUAAGCAACCUGCCCUGCAGUGGGGGAUAACAGCGGGAAACUGCUGCUAAUACCGCAUAGGCAUAUUUCUGGGCAUCCAGGGAUGUGUAAAGGCUAGACUGCUGCAGGAGGGGCUUGCGGCCUAUUAGCUAGUCGGUGGGGUAACGGCCUACCGAGGCGACGAUGGGUAGCUGGUCUGAGAGGAUGGUCAGCCGGAUCGGGACUGAGACACGGCCCGGACUCCUACGGGGGCAGCAAUCAGGAAUAUUGCGCAAUGGGGGAAACCCUGACGCAGCGACGCCGCGUGCGGGAUGAAGGCCUUCGGGUCGUAAACCGCUGUUGUGGGAGACGAAUGACUGUCGAUGAGGCAGUGGAGACGGUAUCUCACGAGGAAGCCCCGGCUAACUACGUGCCAGCAGCCGAC
Molecule: ribosomal RNA, 485 nt
Filed under: uncultured bacterium
Lineage: Bacteria
Description: bacterial SSU rRNA
Rfam family: Bacterial small subunit ribosomal RNA
Source: RNAcentral